RNAcentral lists this transfer RNA (77 nucleotides) under Candidatus Zixiibacteriota bacterium. RNAcentral's name for it is "tRNA-Ile". It matches the Rfam family "tRNA". From Rfam's summary of the family: Transfer RNA (tRNA) molecules are approximately 80 nucleotides in length. Lineage: Bacteria; Pseudomonadati; Candidatus Zixiibacteriota. The record is from RNAcentral.
GGGCCCAUAGCUCAGUCGGUUAGAGCAACUGACUCAUAAUCAGUGGGUCGCAGGUUCGAGUCCUGCUGGGCCCACCA